Molecule: ribosomal RNA, 1343 nt
Filed under: uncultured bacterium
Lineage: Bacteria
Description: 16S ribosomal RNA
Rfam family: Bacterial small subunit ribosomal RNA
Source: RNAcentral
GACGAACGCUGGCGGCGUGCUUAACACAUGCAAGUCGAACGGAAAGGCCCUGCUUUUGUGGGGUGCUCGAGUGGCGAACGGGUGAGUAACGCGUGAGUAACCUGCCCUUGACUUUGGGAUAACUUCAGGAAACUGGGGCUAAUACCGGAUAGGAGCUCCUGCUGCAUGGUGGGGGUUGGAAAGUUUCGGCGGUUGGGGAUGGACUCGCGGCUUAUCAGCUUGUUGGUGGGGUAGUGGCUUACCAAGGCUUUGACGGGUAGCCGGCCUGAGAGGGUGACCGGCCACAUUGGGACUGAGAUACGGCCCAGACUCCUACGGGAGGCAGCAGUGGGGAAUAUUGCACAAUGGGCGGAAGCCUGAUGCAGCAACACCGCGUGCGGGAUGACGGCCUUCGGGUUGUAAACCGCUUUCGCCUGUGACGAAGCGUGAGUGACGGUAAUGGGUAAAGAAGCACCGGCUAACUACGUGCCAGCAGCCGCGGUGAUACGUAGGGUGCGAGCGUUGUCCGGAUUUAUUGGGCGUAAAGGGCUCGUAGGUGGUUGAUCGCGUCGGAAGUGUAAUCUUGGGGCUUAACCCUGAGCGUGCUUUCGAUACGGGUUGACUUGAGGAAGGUAGGGGAGAAUGGAAUUCCUGGUGGAGCGGUGGAAUGCGCAGAUAUCAGGAGGAACACCAGUGGCGAAGGCGGUUCUCUGGGCCUUUCCUGACGCUGAGGAGCGAAAGCGUGGGGAGCGAACAGGCUUAGAUACCCUGGUAGUCCACGCUGUAAACGGUGGGUACUAGGUGUGGGGUCCAUUCCACGGGUUCCGUGCCGUAGCUAACGCUUUAAGUACCCCGCCUGGGGAGUACGGCCGCAAGGCUAAAACUCAAAGGAAUUGACGGGGCCCCGCACAAGCGGCGGAGCAUGCGGAUUAAUUCGAUGCAACGCGUAGAACCUUACCUGGGUUUGACAUGGAUCGGGAGCGCUCAGAGAUGGGUGUGCCUCUUUUGGGGUCGGUUCACAGGUGGUGCAUGGCUGUCGUCAGCUCGUGUCGUGAGAUGUUGGGUUAAGUCCCGCAACGAGCGCAACCCUUGUUCACUGUUGCCAGCACGUUAUGGUGGGGACUCAGUGGAGACCGCCGGGGUCAACUCGGAGGAAGGUGGGGAUGACGUCAAGCCAUCAUGCCCCUUAUGUCCAGGGCUUCACGCAUGCUACAAUGGCUGGUACAGAGAGUGGCGAGCCUGUGAGGGUGAGCGAAUCUCGGAAAGCCGGUCUCAGUUCGGAUUGGGGUCUGCAACUCGACCUCAUGAAGUCGGAGUCGCUAGUAAUCGCAGAUCAGCAACGCUGCGGUGAAUACGUUCCCGGG